UCCGUAGGUGAACCUGCGGAGGGAUCAUUACAGAGUUGCAAAACUCCCUAAACCAUUGUGAACGUUACCUUCAAACCGUUGCUUCGGCGGGCGGCCCGGGUCCGCCCGGUGCCCCCUGGCCCCCUAGCGGGGCGCCCGCCGGAGGAAACCCAACUCUUGAUUAUUAUGGCCUCUCUGAGUCUUCUGUACUGAAUAAGUCAAAACUUUCAACAACGGAUCUCUUGGUUCUGGCAUCGAUGAAGAACGCAGCGAAAUGCGAUAAGUAAUGUGAAUUGCAGAAUUCAGUGAAUCAUCGAAUCUUUGAACGCACAUUGCGCCCGCCAGUAUUCUGGCGGGCAUGCCUGUUCGAGCGUCAUUUCAACCAUCAAGCCCCAGGCUUGUGUUGGGGACCUGCGGCUGCCGCAGGCCCUGAAAACCAGUGGCGGGCUCGCUGUCACACCGGGCGUAGUAGAUUUUAUCUCGCUCAGGGCGUGCUGCGGGUUCCGGCCGUUAAAAGCCUUUUUUACCCAAGGUUGACCUCGGAUCAGGUAGGAAUACCCGCUGAACUUAAGCAUAUCAAUAAGCGGAGGAA
This 571-nucleotide ribosomal RNA is filed under the name uncultured fungus. Its description in RNAcentral is "eukaryotic LSU rRNA". The stretch from base 202 to 355 matches the Rfam family "5.8S ribosomal RNA". The record is from RNAcentral. Lineage: Eukaryota; Fungi.